Molecule: ribosomal RNA, 502 nt
Filed under: uncultured bacterium
Lineage: Bacteria
Description: partial 16S ribosomal RNA
Rfam family: Bacterial small subunit ribosomal RNA
Source: RNAcentral
GACGAACGCUGGCGGCGUGCUUAACACAUGCAAGUCGAACGGUGAAGGGGUCUGCUUUUGUGGGCCCUGGAUGAGUGGCGAACGGGUGAGUAACACGUGAGUAACCUGCCCCCUUCUUCUGGAUAACCGCAUGAAAGUGUGGCUAAUACGGGAUAUUCUGGGUCUGUCGCAUGAUGGGUCUGGGAAAGAUUGCGCCUUUGGGUGUUUUUGGUGGGGGAUGGGCUCGCGGCCUAUCAGCUUGUUGGUGGGGUGAUGGCCUACCAAGGCGGUGACGGGUAGCCGGCGUGAGAGGGUGGACGGUCACACUGGGACUGAGACACGGCCCAGACGCCUACGGGAGGCAGCAGUGGGGAAUAUUGCACAGUGGGCGCAAGCCUGAUGCAGCGACGCCGCGUGAGGGAUGGAGGCCUUCGGGUUGUAAACCUCUUUCGCCAGUGAAGCAGGCCUGCUCCUUGUGGGUGGGUUGACGGUAGCUGGAUAAGAAGCGCCGGCUAACUACGUG